UACGUAGGGGGCAAGCGUUGUCCGGAUUUAUUGGGCGUAAAGAGCGUGUAGGCGGCCAGAUAGGUCAGCUGUGAAAACUCGAGGCUCAACCUCGAGACGCCGGUUGAAACCAUUUGGCUAGAGUCCGGAAGAGGAGAGUGGAAUUCCUGGUGUAGCGGUGAAAUGCGCAGAUAUCAAGUGGAACACCAGUGGCGAAGGCGAGUCUCUGGACAUUUCCUGACGCUGAGGCACGAAAGCCAGGGGAGCAAACGGG
This 253-nucleotide ribosomal RNA is filed under the name uncultured bacterium. RNAcentral's name for it is "partial 16S ribosomal RNA". It matches the Rfam family "Bacterial small subunit ribosomal RNA", at positions 524 to 776 of the family's 1533-position model. The record is from RNAcentral.